UUGAAGAACACUUUCAAGUUCAAGAAAAUGACACACUCUUUGUGGCUGGAAUCAAGAAAAGGGUUUGGGAAGAUCUGUCUAAGCGGUACCAGAAUGAGGACAUCAGGCACUUCCUUGAAGAGGCUACAGUGAUGGAUCCACGCUUCAAAAAUAAGCUCCAUCCAGAUAACAUUUGGGAGAGGGUGAAACUGGCUGCAGUAAUGGCACAAAACAAGAUGUCAGAAGAGCAGGAAAGGGAAAAAGGCCAUGAGCAAGAACAGGACACUUCAA
Long non-coding RNA from Rhinichthys klamathensis goyatoka, 270 nucleotides. RefSeq lists it as uncharacterized. NCBI's taxonomy places the organism in Eukaryota, Metazoa, Chordata, Actinopteri, Cypriniformes, Leuciscidae. The record is from RefSeq and is a predicted model, not a curated record. The transcript is spliced from 3 exons.